CAGCCCUAAACGAUGCGCGUUAGGUGUAUCGGUGACCACGAGUCACCGAGGUGCCGAAGGGAAACCGUGAAACGUGCCGCCUGGGAAGUACGGUCGCAAGGCUGAAACUUAAAGGAAUUGGCGGGAGAGCACCACAACGGGUGGAGCCUGCGGUUUAAUUGGACUCAACGCCGGGAAUCUCACCGGAUAAGACAGCUGAAUGAUAGUCGGGAUGAAGACUCUACUUGACUAGCUGAGAGGAGGUGCAUGGCGUAGUCGUGU
This 261-nucleotide ribosomal RNA is filed under the name uncultured archaeon. RNAcentral describes it as "partial 16S ribosomal RNA". It matches the Rfam family "Archaeal small subunit ribosomal RNA", at positions 748 to 1009 of the family's 1478-position model. The record is from RNAcentral.